AUGAAUGUUGGGUUAGCGAGUCUGAAAAUGACAAGCGCCCACACUUAUUACCACACACACUGUGAACCUUUUCCUUUAAUCGCAAGAUUUAAGGAAAAAAACUCCUGUGAUUUAAACAAGUCUAGGAUGUCAAUCCAAUUGAAAAACUAUUAUA
RNAcentral lists this unclassified non-coding RNA (154 nucleotides) under Pseudobensingtonia musae. Its description in RNAcentral is "ITS 1". Lineage: Eukaryota; Fungi; Basidiomycota; Agaricostilbomycetes; Agaricostilbales; Agaricostilbaceae. The record is from RNAcentral.